GCGGGAAUGGCGAAAUUGGCAGACGCACCAGACUUAGGAUCUGGCGCCGCAAGGCGUGGAGGUUCAAGUCCUCUUUCCCGCACCA
Molecule: transfer RNA, 85 nt
Filed under: Helicobacter cinaedi
Lineage: Bacteria; Pseudomonadati; Campylobacterota; Epsilonproteobacteria; Campylobacterales; Helicobacteraceae
Also listed under: 14 other names
Description: tRNA-Leu(tag)
Rfam family: tRNA
About the family: Transfer RNA (tRNA) molecules are approximately 80 nucleotides in length. Their secondary structure includes four short double-helical elements and three loops (D, anti-codon, and T loops).
Source: RNAcentral